GUGCAGCUUCAAAGCGACUGCUCCAUGUGUGUGUGGAUGCCAGUUUCAUCCUGAGCUGCAAGAGGU
Molecule: small RNA, 66 nt
Filed under: Euglena gracilis
Lineage: Eukaryota; Euglenozoa; Euglenophyceae; Euglenales; Euglenaceae
Description: Eg-p-Orphan2 AGAUGN box-like small RNA
Source: RNAcentral